AGAAUCAACGCUGGCGGCGUGCCUAACACAUGCAAGUCGCACGAGAAAGGGUAGCAAUACCUGAGUACAGUGGCGCACGGGUGAGUAACACGUGAAUUAUCUACCUCCGAGUGGGGAAUAAACUGAGAGAAAUCUUAGCUAAUAACGCAUAACACUUACGAGUCAAAGCAGCAAUGCGCUUGGAGAGGAGUUCGCGGCCGAUUAGUUAGUUGGCGGGGUAAUGGCCCACCAAGACGAUGAUCGGUA
RNAcentral lists this ribosomal RNA (246 nucleotides) under uncultured bacterium. Its description in RNAcentral is "partial small subunit ribosomal RNA". It matches the Rfam family "Bacterial small subunit ribosomal RNA", at positions 26 to 285 of the family's 1533-position model. The record is from RNAcentral.